UGGCUCAGAGCGAACGCUGGCGGCAGGCUUAACACAUGCAAGUCGAGCGGACCCUUCGGGGUCAGCGGCGGACGGGUGAGUAACGCGUGGGAACGUGCCUUCUGGUUCGGAAUAACCCUGGGAAACUAGGGCUAAUACCGGAUACGCCCUUAUGGGGAAAGGUUUACUGCCGGAAGAUCGGCCCGCGUCUGAUUAGCUAGUUGGUGGGGUAACGGCCUACCAAGGCGACGAUCAGUAGCUGGUCUGAGAGGAUGAUCAGCCACACUGGGACUGAGACACGGCCCAGACUCCUACGGGAGGCAGCAGUGGGGAAUAUUGGACAAUGGGCGCAAGCCUGAUCCAGCCAUGCCGCGUGAGUGAUGAAGGCCUUAGGGUUGUAAAGCUCUUUUAUCCGGGACGAUAAUGACGGUACCGGAGGAAUAAGCCCCGGCUAACUUCGUGCCAGCAGCCGCGGUAAUACGAAGGGGGCUAGCGUUGCUCGGAAUCACUGGGCGUAAAGGGCGCGUAGGCGGCGUUUUAAGUCGGGGGUGAAAGCCUGUGGCUCAACCACAGAAUGGCCUUCGAUACUGGGACGCUUGAGUAUGGUAGAGGUUGGUGGAACUGCGAGUGUAGAGGUGAAAUUCGUAGAUAUUCGCAAGAACACCGGUGGCGAAGGCGGCCAACUGGACCAUCAC
Molecule: ribosomal RNA, 674 nt
Filed under: Methylobacterium sp. L1904
Lineage: Bacteria; Pseudomonadati; Pseudomonadota; Alphaproteobacteria; Hyphomicrobiales; Methylobacteriaceae
Description: bacterial SSU rRNA
Rfam family: Bacterial small subunit ribosomal RNA
Source: RNAcentral